RNAcentral lists this long non-coding RNA (263 nucleotides) under Ovis aries (sheep). RNAcentral's name for it is "Highly up-regulated in liver cancer conserved region (ENSOARG00000022952.1)". It matches the Rfam family "Highly up-regulated in liver cancer conserved region". Lineage: Eukaryota; Metazoa; Chordata; Mammalia; Artiodactyla; Bovidae. The record is from RNAcentral.
GCUUUGGAAGACACCCUGAAGUAUAAGCAAAAGAUUCUUUGCUUAAAACAUUGAAACCACCACCAUGACCACCAGCAACAACAAAACCAACAAAACCCAAGACAAACGAGUUUUGUGGCAACAACAAAAAAGCCCAGGUCAAGUAAGUAAGUUAUUUUUUAAGGAACACAAAUUAAGUGUUCGCAUUUGUCCUUUGUUUUGAAUUAUGCUGCUUGCAAAGAGAAUUGUUUGAAAGGACUAAUAAAACACCAUCAAAACCCAAG